GACCAAGAAGUCUAACAUGUGUGCGAGUCAUUGGGUAUAUUAUUGAAACCUAAGGGCGUAAUUAAAAUAACUAUGUUAUGGGAUUACAAGUGAAUUAAUUUUCAUUUCUCCAUCCCGGGGCGUUCUAUACGAACAUGGUUUGAGCAAUUGAAUCCUCUGUUCAAGAGCGUACCUUGAGCAUACAUGCUGUGACCCGAAAGAUGGUGAACUAUACCUGAUCAGAUCGAAGCCAGGAGAAAUUCUGGUGGAGGAUCGAAACAGUUCUGACGUGCAAAUCGAUUGUCAGAAUUGGGUAUAGGGGCGAAAGACCAAUCGAACCAUCUAGUAGCUGGUUCCCUCCGAAGUUUCCCUCAGGAUAGCUGGCGCAAAGAAUUAUAUUAUAUAUAAUCUUAUCUGGUAAAGCGAAUGAUUAGAGGCCUUGGGGCCGAAACGACCUCAACCUAUUCUCAAACUUUAAAUGGGUAAGAACCUCAUCUUUCUUGAUCUGAAGAUAUUGGGGUUUAGAUAUAUUGUGCCCAGUGGGCCACUUUUGGUAAGCAGAACUGGCGCUGUGGGAUGAACCAAACAUGAUGUUACGGCGCCUAAAUUAAUGACUCAUAUUGAUACCAUGAAAGGCGUUGGUUGCUUAAAACAGCAGGACGGUGGACAUGGAAGUCGUAAUCCGCUAAGGAGUGUGUAACAACUCACCUGCCGAAGCAACUAGCCCUUAAAAUGGAUGGCGCUCAAGUCAUAUGCCUAUACAUCAUCGCUAAAAUAAAAAUUGUUGGCUUUAUGGUCAUCAUUAUGAAAUUUUAGCGAGUAGGAGGGUACAAUGGUGUGCGCAGAAGUGUUUGGCGUGAGCCUGCAUGAAGCCGCCAUUGGCACAGAUCUUGGUGGUAGUAGCAAAUAAUCGAAUGAGAUCUUGGAGGACUGAAGUGGAGAAGGGUUUCGUGUGAACAGUGGUUGAUCACGAGUUAGUCGGUCCUAAGCUUUAUGCGAAAGCUGUUUAAUUUAUGUUACAUACAAAACAUUGUUGUACAUAAUUCAAUAAAAGCGAAAGGGAAUACGGUUCCAAUUCCGUAACCUGUUGAGUAUACGUUUGUUUAUUAAAAAUGGGUCUUUAUACACUCAUCCUGGCAACAGGAACGACCAUAGAGAAGCCUUCGAGAGAUACUGGAAGAGUUUUCUUUUCUGCUAAACAAACGUAUCACCAUGGAAGUCUUUUAUAGAGAGAUAUGGUGAAUGGCUUGGAAGAGCAUGACAUUUACUGUUGUGUCAGUAUUUUCUCCUUGGACCUUGAAAAUCUAUGGUGGGGCCACGCAAACUUCUCAACAGACCGUACCGAUAUCCGCAGCCGGUCUCCAAGG
Molecule: ribosomal RNA, 1346 nt
Filed under: Pseudoaerumnosa sp. JSSCI1
Lineage: Eukaryota; Metazoa; Arthropoda; Insecta; Diptera; Sciaridae
Description: eukaryotic LSU rRNA
Rfam family: Eukaryotic large subunit ribosomal RNA
Source: RNAcentral